RNAcentral lists this long non-coding RNA (905 nucleotides) under Capra hircus (goat). Its description in RNAcentral is "lncRNA (ENSCHIG00000000734.1)". The record is from RNAcentral. Lineage: Eukaryota; Metazoa; Chordata; Mammalia; Artiodactyla; Bovidae.
UGUGAUCUCCACCUGGCUAUUCAAACGACUACUUUGGAAUUCCUUUUAGGAAUUCCUCAAUCCUUUUAGGGCUGUACUACGGUUACUGUUGUCUAGUCACUAAAUCAUGUCUGACUCUUUUGUGACCCUAUGGACUGUGGCCCGCCAGGAUCCUCUGUCCAUGGGAUUUUACAGGCAAGAAUACUGGACUUAGUUGCCAUUUCUUCUCCAGGUGACCUUCCCACCCCAGGGAUCAAACCCUCAUCACCUGUGUCUCUUGCACUGGCAGGUGGAUCUUUACCAUUGAGCCACCUGGGAAGCCCAGUCCUGCUAACAGGUUGCCUUAGCUCCUUGAUGGCCUCCUCCACAAGCGCCCCUGGACACUUCUUGGGAACUGCAAGGCUCCAGGAAAAAAGAAAGCCUUUAUAAAAUAUGAUGAACAAUCAACACAGAGAGGAGACCUAUGCACUAAUCAAGGCCUACGGAAUUAUACUGAAAACAUAUGCACACACCCCAAUUAACAGAGCAUUGCGCUACAAAGAGUAUGGACAGAAUGUGAUGGUGUCAAUGGGAAGAAAAUCCUCAAAACAAGAACUCAACCAAUUUUAGGGACGUAUAUAAAAUAGACUAAGAACAGAAAGCCCAAACUUCAAUAUUUAGCCCAAGGACCGGUUUCUUCAGUGUUUUCCAAAACUUUUUAUAAGGAAAAGCUAUUAAUUUUUCCUUAAAAGCUUAUAAUCACUGGGGUAGGACUGGCCGCCUGCUUCAUACAGGAAAAGGCAGGGAGAGAAUGAUACUGGGCAAAAACUGGGGAUUAGGUGACACUAAAUGGGAGAAGAUUUAUGAUAGGGCUGCUGAAAACCAGUGUGUAUGCAAAUCACCUGGGAUGCCUGUUAUACUGUAGAUUCUGAGCCAGUGGGCUUGGG